AUGAAUGGAGGUAGCGGACAAAGC
This 24-nucleotide non-coding RNA is filed under the name Arabidopsis thaliana (thale cress). The record is from RNAcentral. Lineage: Eukaryota; Viridiplantae; Streptophyta; Magnoliopsida; Brassicales; Brassicaceae.